This 425-nucleotide ribosomal RNA is filed under the name uncultured bacterium. RNAcentral's name for it is "bacterial SSU rRNA". It matches the Rfam family "Bacterial small subunit ribosomal RNA", at positions 354 to 776 of the family's 1533-position model. The record is from RNAcentral.
GUGAGGAAUAUUGGUCAAUGGACGAGAGUCUGAACCAGCCAAGUAGCGUGAAGGAUGACUGCCCUAUGGGUUGUAAACUUCUUUUAUAUGGGAAUAAAGUUCAGUAUGUAUACUGUUUUGUAUGUACCAUAUGAAUAAGGAUCGGCUAACUCCGUGCCAGCAGCCGCGGUAAUACGGAGGAUCCGAGCGUUAUCCGGAUUUAUUGGGUUUAAAGGGAGCGUAGGCGGAAGCUUAAGUCAGUUGUGAAAGUUUGCGGCUUAACCGUAAAAUUGCAGUUGAUACUGGGUUUCUUGAGUGCAGCAGAGGUAGGCGGAAUUCGUGGUGUAGCGGUGAAAUGCUUAGAUAUCACGAAGAACUCCGAUUGCGAAGGCAGCUUACUGGACUGUAACUGACGCUGAUGCUCGAAAGUGUGGGUAUCAAACAGG